Molecule: small RNA, 8494 nt
Filed under: Caenorhabditis elegans
Lineage: Eukaryota; Metazoa; Nematoda; Chromadorea; Rhabditida; Rhabditidae
Description: Unclassified non-coding RNA T07G12.21
Source: RNAcentral
GAACAACGUCGGCUGCUCUAAAGUUUGGAUCAUGGAGGGCUCCGUCUGCACAAAUCCUAGACCCGAAAGCUCUACACAUUCUGAAGAAAGUACAAUCGAACCAGUUGUACCACUAAGUACAACUCUGGCCACUAACAAGCUUCCUCGAUUUUCAACUCCUGCUAUCGGCCAUUCAAAUAAUAAUUCCAGUAAAAAUUUCACAUUGAAUUUGGCUGAGAAGCUCUCAGAGAUACUAUCGGAUGACGAUAAAACUGAUGAAUUCCUGGAGAACUCUCAUCAAUCCGAAACUUCGAAGGACGACGUGAUUAAAGAUUUGCUCGAAGAAAUGGUACAAACGGUUGCCAAUUCUAAUAAACCUCCGAUUCUUUUGAGCACAACUCUCGCAAAUGUUGGUGUUCCCCGCUUUUCAACUCCCAUCAAACCACAACAUGCAUUGAAUCGAGAUUUCACGAUGAACAUGACAGAAAUGAUUUCCGAAAUCGAUUCGAAUUAUGAAGGUUAUGAAUUAUUCGACGAUUCCUCCAAUGACUGUACCACCUUGACCCCCAACUGCCAGGAGGUCGAAUCGUCAUUUUAUCGAGCACUUUCUGAAGCAGCUAGUUCCAUUGUUCCAUAUCAGGAAGGAAAGAGAAGAAGCUCGAGACGUUUGAGUACUCUGAGUAGUCUCAAGGAAACUGUCAAAGUAGAGCCUGCAGUUUCAAAAUUAACGAAGAGAAGACGGCUCACGUAAGAAUUUUUCUGUGACGAGAAUUCUGCCCGUUCAGAGAUCGCUGCAGAUCGAAUUAUCAUAACUUCAAUUUCUUUUUUAAAAAACGGAUUUAUUAGCAUGAAUAUAUUCAAAAUUUCAAUAAUCCGAAUCACCGUCGAAGUUAUGUACUUAAGAGUUUCAUUAUUUUUCAGACCGGUUGAAUGUUCAAGUGAAACUAUGAUUCCACACUCCCAACCAAUACCACUGGAUACUUGCUCAGAUCAACCCAUUUUUCCCAAUUCGACACACAAUGCUAUUCAAUCUGAUGGAUUCUCAUAUGAACAACCUAUUUGUGAAUUUGGAGAUAGUCAAUUGUUUUUGUCAGCAAAAAGUCUUUGCACUGAGCCGAACAGUUCUAUUGCUGAGGAUGUGAAGCCGGUUUUGACAGUUUCGGAUUCCGACAUAACAGCUUCCAACAGGAAUAAUAUCGAUGAUCAUAAUCGAGUCAUAGAACUGUCAACUGAGGUAUGAUUUGAGUAAUUUCCUUUAUUUUUAAUUUGUAAAUCAUCACAACUGACAAGGGAAGUCUUUGAGGGGGUCCCUAGAUUUGGGAUUCUCAUGUUGAAAUUCCAAUAGAAGAGUAUUCCAGAUGAUCCCUCCAAAAAAUUUAGCUGCCCAGGUUGGGUUUCAGCAAAGUUAUGACGUUUUGAAAAUUCGGUCUGAAAUCGGUUGAUUUGUAUACUAAAUCAACGGUCGGCAUCGGCCCGGGACACCAUAGUUGUCACCAGGCGCGUGGUGUGAGCAAAUCAUCGGUUGGUUGGUUGAGUGGUAACGAGAUGGGUUCUGGUGGUGAAGGUUGUGGGUUCGAUCCCUUGCGUUAUAAAGCUUUUUUUAAAAGUUUUUACUGUAUUUUAAAAACAGUAAAAAGUGUGAUUGAAAUUACUUUUACUGACUUUCUCCACCUUUUUGAGUUUCUUAUAAACGUUUGCAUCACAUUUUCUCACAUUUUUUGAAUUAAAAAAAUUUCAAAAAAAUCAAAAUUUUCAUCAUCAAAGUCAUGAAAAAAAAUAGAAAUCUCAGAUUUUCAGAUAACUAUAAAAAACCCACCGAAAGAUUAUUUUCAUUAUUAAACUCAUGGUUAAAACGUAUUUCGCGAUAAACUGGGCCGUGACCGACGGAAAGGGCCACUGGUGUAAACCGCCGUUUUUGUUCGAAUUUUUUUUUAGUAAUUUCACCGUUUUUUUGUUGUUUUUACUUAUUGAAUUAAAGGUAAAUGCCGUUCCGUGCUGAUCUUAUUGUUGGAGGACUGGUGGAAGAGUUUGGACAUGAAUAUAAUCCAAGUUUCAUGAGCCGCGAGGAACAAAAAAUUCUCGAACGUGUUCGAAGAAUAUUGCGUGAUGGAAAAACUCAUGAGCUGAUCGUGUAUAGUGAGGAUGAAGAGGAAAUUGUCGGUGGAAUAGUAGAGGAUGAAAAUUGGACAGCAGACGAUGAUGGUCCCACUACUUAUGCUCUUCCGGACAAAGUAAAUUUCUCGGGAAAUCUAGUAGAUGUGGAGACUGUGAGUUUUCAACUAUGUCUAAAAAGUUUGUAAAAGAAAGACGUUUUUACGGUUUUCGAAAGCCACCGUAUUUUUAUAAAUGCUACCAACUUAUGUGUAUGUUUUGAAUUGUAAUACUGUUAUCAAUACAGGUUGAAAAGGCUAUUGAAUUUAUGAUGGAUACAAAACAUAACAAGUUCCUCACAAUGUCCAGUGUACAGCAUCGUUACCGUUUUAUCAAGUCAGAAAAGGAUAUGAAGAAGCUCCGAAAGUUCGCUAGAAAUCGUCAGUUUUCUUUUUCCAUAUUCUCGGUGCACAACUAUUUAUUUGUUUUAGAAAAAGUCAAUUGUUCUCGAGCUUCCAGCUUCGCAAAACUGUCAGAACUUUUGAGAGCAAAAGUUUUUGAGACAAUGGAAGCAAGUGAGUGUUUGAUUGCAAAUUAAAUUUGCAUGCUUUAUUUUUUAGAAGUUCAAAUCGACAAGCUCACACUUCGACGAAUGGCAGUUGAUCUAAAUGAAGAGUUUGUGCACAUUGACGAUUUCAAGGCUUCAGACGAUUGGCUCGCAAAAUGGAAGAAGUCAAAUGGUUUGGUAUCUCGUCAUAUCACUACUUUUGUGACCAAAGCUAGUUUCGCAAAUAAAGAAAAGACAGAAGAAGCGGCAAAGAAGUAUGUUGAUGAUAUGAAACUAGAACUGCAAACGCUCGAUCCAAAUACAGCUUUCAACUGUGAUCAGUGCGGAUUCACGAAGGAGCAAUAUUGCAAAAGGUUCGCCUUGAAAAGAGCAACUUUUAUGAAAUAAACUUUUCAGAACUCUCGCACCGAGGGGGGUGAAACGUGUUGAGAGACUUGUCCAAUCAAAAGAUGCCUUAUCUCACUCGUAUACCAUUCUCCCAAUGUUGAGUGUGACGGGAAAGCUCGCUCCAAAACUCUACAUCGUUUUGCAGGUAGAAAAUGCGUAUCAUUCAUUGCAGUCUUCUCAACUUUAACUUUUUCAAAAAGUAAUAUAUUACAGGAAAAAGGAGGCAAGUUUCCCAAGAAAGGUCACUGUUCUCCGUCCAACCUCAUCGUUCGUGCCAACUCCAGUCACAUUAUGACCAAAGAUUUAAUGAGAGAUUGGGUUGAAAGUGCAGUGUGCGAUCCUGCGAUGCCGAAGAAAACCGUUCUUCUCCUUGACUCAUGGCCAGCAUGGAAAAAUGAAAGGGACGUACAAGACGCUGCGCUAUAUGGACACACGGUCCACGUUCGUACGAUUCCACCUGGAGCGACUUCUUUCAUUCAACCUUGUGACAUCUACCUCUUCUGCCCAAUGAAAAACUUCGUCAAAAAAGUUCAAUCCCAUAUCAUCUACGCUGGAAUCGAGUUCAAGCCCCAUGAGCGUGACAAUAUUCUCCGUUUGAUUUCGGCCGUGUACUUCUUUUUCUGUGCACCCAGAUUCGAGACAUGCUGGCAGUACGGUUGGUUCAAAGGAGGCUACAUUGACUCACAUCCAUCUGAAUUCGAGACACCUUCCAAAUACUGUCUCGAAGCUACUGGCAAAUGCAUACUACAAUGCCAAAACGCGGCAUAUGUCCGUUGUCCAUAUUGCAAAAAAUGUAUCUGCUUUCACCAUUGGGUGGGAAGUGGAUUCCCAGCUCACAGAUGCUCCUAAUUCACGAGUUUAUUACUUUUUUUAAAAAUUAACGUUAUGUUCUGUUCGUUCUGCUAAUUUCUUCCGGCGUGUUUUCAAAAUUUUCUGAGAUUUCUAUUUUUUUUUCAUGACUUUGAUGAUGAAAAUUUUGAUUUUUUUUGAAAUUUUUUUAAUUCAAAAAAUGUGAGAAAAUGUGAUGCAAACGUUUAUAAGAAACUCAAAAAGGUGGAGAAAGUCAGUAAAAGUAAUUUCAAUCACACUUUUUACUGUUUUUAAAAUACAGUAAAACUUUUAAAAAAAGCUUUAUAACGCAAGGGAUCGAACCCACAACCUUCACCACCAGAACCCAUCUCGUUACCACACAGGUAAACCGCGUCAUGCGAGCAACUGGUGAAUAACGAACGAACAGCCGCUAACACGCGAAAUGUGAUUGUAAACAACAAAUAAUUUUGUGAAAAAUGUUUUCCACUGAUUUUUAAACUUUCAUAAGGAUCCCCUUAUGAUUCCUCCGAUGUUCCAAUUUUGAGCAAAAGGGUCCCCCCUUAUGGUUGAAAAAAGUUUUUCGCCUAAAUUUUUUUUUUGAAAACUUUUCAAAAUUUGCUCAGAUGUUACAGAAAAUGCAAUGUUUGUAGUUUUUUUUUAGUUUCAAUGUUCUAAACACAAUUUCAGACCAAAACCUGAGGUGUAGUAUGUAGAACACCUAUGUUCAAAAACGCUUUCACUUUGGAUGCUUAUAUCUCCGUGGAAAAAUUUUUUGUGACAAAGCGAUCAACUACAAAGUUGUUUAUUUUAAUCUAAUGUACAACUUUGUAGUUGAACGUUUUUCUUCAAAAAAAUUGGUGGUCGAGAUAGGAACAGAAAAAGAAGUAGAAAAUAAAAGCAUGAAGCUUCCGCAAUUAACACAACUUUAUCUCGACCACCAAUUUUUUUGAUGAGAAACGUUCAACUACAAAGUCGUACAUUAGAUUAAGAUAAUCAACUCUGUAGUUGAUUGCUUUGUCAUAAAAAUUUUUUCCACGGAGAUAUAAGCAUCCAAAGUGAAAGCGUUUUUGAACAUAGGUGUUCUAAUACACUUCAGGUUUUCGUUUGAACUCGUGUUCAGCACAUCGAAACUAAAAAAACAAUCAUUUUUACAUUUUUCUAUAACAUCUGAUCAAAUUAUGAAAAGUUUUCAAAAAAAAAAAUUUCGAAAAAAUUUUAGAAAAUUUUCAUAAGGGGGGAGCCUUUGGAUUUUUUUUCAUAAAAAUCGAAAAAUUUUUUUUUUCAAAAGUUGUCAAAUAUUUAUCAGAUAUUGUAGAAAUAUGUUUACUUGUUCGUUUCAAUAAGUUUUCUUACCAAAUGUGGUGCUUUCGAAAACUAACAAACUGUAAAAACCUCUAUCCCUCUAACAGAUCUACCUGAUAUGCCAGUUUUUCGAAGUCAUGUCCCACAUCGGGCAAGCAAGAUAUCUAAAAAUUGUCAACUACAAACUUUUUUAGUUUGUUAUUGAACAUGUUUCAUACUUAAUAGUUUUUUGCUUUCUGUGCAGAGUACGGAGAUAUCAUCAGUCAUAAUUAGUGAUAUUUGACUCAUAACUAGGUGCUCCUAUUUGCUCAGCCAUCCAAGAUGGAAAAAAGUUACAAUAAAUAAUUUGUCAAUCACUUUAUUCACAACAACUUUUUAGUUGACAAGUUUUUCAUAUUUAAGCUGCCUGCGGAGGUAGAACAUUUUGGAAGUACUGACUUUCUAUGAACAAGCCAAAUUGACUGUUGUAUUUUUUUGCCCAGGAGUGCGAUUGAGCUAUGAAAACUGUGGAAAAUACUAAAAUAUACAUUUCCUACACAAGUAUUGCAGUAUUGAAAUUUUUUGGAAAAAAAAUUUUUCCCAAAAUUUUUUCAUAAGGGGGGACCCUUAUCAAAAUUUUAAAAUCAGUGGAAAAUAUUUUUAAUUAAAUUUUUAUUGAACUUAACUUUUUUUCAAUUAUAUGUUGGUUUCAAUCACAAAUCACAUUUACGACUCAAAGUGAUUUUUUCUUUUCUACGACUUCAAUAUAAGAGCGAGAAACCAUUUCAAAAGAAGCUCCAAACGCAAAUGGCAACGACACUCCGAAAUAACGGUUGCGCGCCCUCUUUACCGUAAAUCCUCCUCAUUUUCGAAAUUAUUUUUUCACCAUUUUUUUCUUUUUCUUCGAUUUUUCAUAGUUUUCUUCAGCAAUUCUUUGAUUUUUUUGGCAAAAAUAAUUAUUUUCCGUAAAUAUACUCGUGUUUCAGCAUAUCCGACGUUGAGGUACCGAUUCAUCCGCGGAUCCGACGCGGAAUCCAUAGAAAUGGAGAGACUCGUCUCUGGAGUUUGGAUGGGAGUGUGCUGCUGAUUCUGAAAAUUCGAGUUGAUAAAAUUUUGGGUUAAAAAAUUAAUGAUUACAUUGACAAAUUGAGCACAAAUUUCCGACUUCCGGUCUUUAAUUGUAGCAUGGAUCUCGACUUAAUGGACGAAUUCUCGGAUCAGAGUCUAGCAUCAGGGCAAUCAAACUGCGAAGAUCUGUAGAAGUUCCAGCGAAGACAGUCAGAUGGGACAGAAUAAUGUGAUCGACGAUGCUCCACCACCAACACGCUCACGUGGACUGUGAUAUUUGUCAACUCGACGAUUAUUCAUCACGUAAGAAAAAUAGUUGAUACUUAAUUAAAAACCAUUUUUUGUUUUCAGCGACUUCAACAAUCACCGACUCCUGCCGCCUCGUCGCCUCGGAACGUGUCAUCUGCAUCGACAAACCCGUCCCCAUCCGAAUAAUUUUCUAUUUUUUUUCAAAUUUUAUUUUAUUUUUUUAUAAAAUAAAAAUUUUUAUGAACUAUCAAUUGUUAUUAAGGAACCGCAAAUUUCAAUAUAUGGCGAAUAACGGGGUGCCAGCUAGCUGGGCAUUCGGAGCGUCCUCAUCAUUUACCGGUCCGUUUUUCGCGAGUUCUUCAUCGAAUAGCGGCCCGCGCCUUCACCAAAGCCAUGUACCGUUUUCGCGAAAUAGCGGCCCGUCACCCGACGAAUAUUCGCAUGACGCGGUUUACCUGUGCACUCAACCAACCAACCGAUGAUUUGCUCACACCACGCGCCUGGUGACAACUAUGGUGUCCCGGGCUGAUGCCGACCGUUGAUUUAGUAUACAAAUCAACCGAUUUCAGACCGAAUUUUCAAAACGUCAUAACUUUGCUGAAACCCAACCUGGGCAGCUAAAUUUUUUGGAGGGAUCAUCUGGAAUACUCUUCUAUUGGAAUUUCAACAUGAGAAUCCCAAAUCUAGGGACCCCCUCAAAGACUUCCCUUGUGAGGGAGGUUUUCGUUUUUAAUUAAAGAUUUUGCAGCAUAAGACAAUGGGAGAGUUUCAAUAUAAUUUCGAUGAUGAGGAUACUGUGCUGAUCGGAAAUUAUGAAGAAGUUGGAACAGAAAUUGAUGAGGCAGAUGAACAACAUAAUGAGGAGAACAGUGAAGAUGAUGAAGAGGAUGAGAGCCCGAUUCCUUCAAAAAAGCGAGUUUCGUUUGCUGUUCCACUUGUUCAAAGUCGCUCCAAACAAAAGGAUGAAAUGAAUAAAGUUCAUAUCAUUAAAUGCCAUUUUGAUGUGAGUUUCUGAGAACAAAUAAAUAUGAAAAAUCAACAUUUUCUUCCCGUUUAGAAGUGUAACAAAUCGUACAAUUGGCGCAAAAAAUACGGUAAACUACGUCUUGUGGAUCACGCCUUCACUCAUGUCCCUCACUUGAAAAUGAAGUGCAAUUUUUGUGAUUACAUGUGCAAAGGAAUUAGAAAUAUUAGGCUUCAUCACAAGAAAAGUCAUCCUGAUGAACAAUUAACGGGAUUUGGUAUCAAAAGGUACUUUGAGAUUCCAAAAAUUAAUGUAUUUGUCUUAUUUUUCAGUGUGGUCCGUACUUCGAAAAAAGGAAAAGACUUGGCGAAGGUUUGGGAUGAAUGUUUUAAAAGUAAGUGAAGUAUAUAUGAAAAAGUUAUAAUUUAAAAUGUUAACUUUCUAGAAAAUCGUGUCCUUCAACAUGGAUCUGGUACCGAUUCAAACCUAUUGCAUUUCUCAAGACAAGACAAAGGAUCUAAAAGAUCACAGAAAUCUAUGGAUUCUGGUGCAAAACAAAAAUUGGAUGAAGCUAGGGACGAGGAUGUGAAGCCAUUUUAGUGAGCAUUAAGUUUAAAACAUUCCGCGUCAUUUUUUUAUUCAGUUUCUUCAGAAUUCGAUGAGCUUCGUCGUCGGGCCGUCUGCUUUUUGUAAAUUGUGUCUCAUGUGUUAUUAUCGUUGAUGUUAUAUUAUGUUGUUUUUAAUGCAUUCUAUGCGACUUUUCUUUUAAUAAUUCUGAAGGUCUUCAUUUUAUCACCGCUUUAAUUUAUAAUUACGACAUGUUGUUUCACUCAAGUUUGAAAAUAUUUCUUGCUAAGACCUACUUUAAAUGUUAAUCGCCGUUUCAUUUGGAACUUUCUUGCUGCUGCCCAUUUUCGAUAUAACUUUUUGAAAGUGGAGCACUCCAGAUAGACUUAAAAUUCUAUUAAUUUAAAUAUGUUCUUACAAGAAUUUUCUAGAUGACCUGCGAUGAUUGGAACAGUUUUAUUCAAGUGAACAUUUAUGGAAAAACCAUAGAAGGACUUCAGCAGCAAGGAGUUGUGUUGGAAACUCUUUUG